RNAcentral lists this unclassified non-coding RNA (404 nucleotides) under soil metagenome. Its description in RNAcentral is "partial contains 5.8S ribosomal RNA, internal transcribed spacer 2, and large subunit ribosomal RNA". The stretch from base 1 to 122 matches the Rfam family "5.8S ribosomal RNA", at positions 35 to 154 of the family's 154-position model. The record is from RNAcentral.
GAUGAAGAACGUAGUGAAAUGCGAUACUUGGUGUGAAUUGCAGAAUCUCGUGAACCAUCGAGUUUUUGAACGCAAGUUGCGCCCGAAGCCGUUAGGCCGAGGGCACGCCUGCCUGGGUGUCACACAUCGUUGCCCCAAUGCCAAUCGCCUCACUUUGUAGGUAUUUGCUUGGGGUGAAUGUUGGCCUCCCGUGAGCUUUGUCUCACGGUUGGUUGAAAAUCGAGUGCAUGGUGUUGGGUGUACCAUGAUGGAUGGUGGUUGAGUGAUGAUGCUCGAGACCAAUCAUGGGUAACUCCACCAGAAUUGGGCUCGGUGACCCACAUGCGUCCCUUGGAUGCUCCCUAAGGAGACCUCAGGUCAGGCGGGGCUACCCGCUGAGUUUAAGCAUAUCAAUAAGCGGAGGA